Molecule: ribosomal RNA, 839 nt
Filed under: Guptibacillus hwajinpoensis
Lineage: Bacteria; Bacillati; Bacillota; Bacilli; Caryophanales; Guptibacillaceae
Description: bacterial SSU rRNA
Rfam family: Bacterial small subunit ribosomal RNA
Source: RNAcentral
GAGUAACACGUGGGCAACCUGCCCUGCAGACUGGGAUAACUCCGGGAAACCGGAGCUAAUACCGGGUAAUACAUCGCACCGCAUGGUGCAAUGUUGAAAGUUGGCUUUCUGAGCUAACACUGCAGGAUGGGCCCGCGGCGCAUUAGCUAGUUGGUAAGGUAAUGGCUUACCAAGGCGACGAUGCGUAGCCGACCUGAGAGGGUGAUCGGCCAAACUGGGACUGAGACACGGCCCAGACUAAUACGGGAGGCAGCAGUAGGGAAUCUUCCGCAAUGGACGAAAGUCUGACGGAGCAACGCCGCGUGAGUGACGAAGGCCUUCGGGUCGUAAAGCUCUGUUGUUAGGGAAGAACAAGUACCGUUCGAAUAGGGCGGUACCUUGACGGUACCUAACCAGAAAGCCACGGCUAACUACGUGCCAGCAGCCGCGGUAAUACGUAGGUGGCAAGCGUUGUCCGGAAUUAUUGGGCGUAAAGCGCGCGCAGGCGGUCUUUUAAGUCUGAUGUGAAAGCCCACGGCUCAACCGUGGAGGGUCAUUGGAAACUGGAGGACUUGAGUGCAGAAGAGGAGAGUGGAAUUCCACGUGUAGCGGUGAAAUGCGUAGAUAUGUGGAGGAACACCAGUGGCGAAGGCGGCUCUCUGGUCUGUAACUGACGCUGAGGCGCGAAAGCGUGGGGAGCAAACAGGAUUAGAUACCCUGGUAGUCCACGCCGUAAACGAUGAGUGCUAGGUGUUGGGGGGUUCCACCCUCAGUGCUGAAGUUAACACAUUAAGCACUCCGCCUGGGGAGUACGACCGCAAGGUUGAAACUCAAAGGAAUUGACGGGGGCCCGCACAAGC